GACGAACGCUGGCGGCGUGCUUAACACAUGCAAGUCGAACGCUGAAGCUUGGUGCUUGCACUGGGUGGAUGAGUGGCGAACGGGUGAGUAAUACGUGAGUAACCUGCCCUUGGCUCUGGGAUAAGCCUGGGAAACUGGGUCUAAUACUGGAUACGACAUGUCACCGCAUGGUGGUGUGUGGAAAGGGUUUUACUGGUUUUGGAUGGGCUCACGGCCUAUCAGCUUGUUGGUGGGGUAAUGGCUCACCAAGGCGACGACGGGUAGCCGGCCUGAGAGGGUGACCGGCCACACUGGGACUGAGACACGGCCCAGACUCCUACGGGAGGCAGCAGUGGGGAAUAUUGCACAAUGGGCGGAAGCCUGAUGCAGCGACGCCGCGUGAGGGAUGACGGCCUUCGGGUUGUAAACCUCUUUCAGCACGGAAGAAGCGAAAGUGACGGUACGUGCAGAAGAAGCGCCGGCUAACUACGUG
This 472-nucleotide ribosomal RNA is filed under the name uncultured bacterium. Its description in RNAcentral is "partial 16S ribosomal RNA". It matches the Rfam family "Bacterial small subunit ribosomal RNA", at positions 28 to 507 of the family's 1533-position model. The record is from RNAcentral.